AUUGAACGCUGGCGGCAUGCUUUACACAUGCAAGUCGGACGGCAGCACAGAGGAGCUUGCUUCUUGGGUGGCGAGUGGCGAACGGGUGAGUAACGCAUCGGAACGUACCGAGUAAUGGGGGAUAACUGUCCGAAAGGACAGCUAAUACCGCAUACGCCCUGAGGGGGAAAGCGGGGGAUCUUAGGACCUCGCGUUAUUCGAGCGGCCGAUGUCUGAUUAGCUGGUUGGCGGGGUAAAGGCCCACCAAGGCGACGAUCAGUAGCGGGUCUGAGAGGAUGAUCCGCCACACUGGGACUGAGACACGGCCCAGACUCCUACGGGAGGCAGCAGGGGGAAUUUUGGACAAUGGGCGCAAGCCUGAUCCAGCCAUGCCGCGUGUCUGAAGAAGGCCUUCGGGUUGUAAAGGACUUUUGUCAGGGAAGAAAAGGAACGUGUUAAUACC
This 442-nucleotide ribosomal RNA is filed under the name Neisseria bacilliformis. RNAcentral's name for it is "bacterial SSU rRNA". It matches the Rfam family "Bacterial small subunit ribosomal RNA", at positions 30 to 479 of the family's 1533-position model. The record is from RNAcentral. Lineage: Bacteria; Pseudomonadati; Pseudomonadota; Betaproteobacteria; Neisseriales; Neisseriaceae.